Molecule: ribosomal RNA, 141 nt
Filed under: uncultured bacterium
Lineage: Bacteria
Description: partial 16S ribosomal RNA
Rfam family: Bacterial small subunit ribosomal RNA
Source: RNAcentral
CUCCUACGGGAGGCAGCAGCUAAGAAUAUUCCGCAAUGGAGGAAACUCUGACGGAGCGACGCCGCGUGGAUGAUGAAGGUCGGAAGAUUGUAAAAUCCUUUUAAGUAUGAUGAAUAACCUGAUCAGGAAAUGGGACAGGGA